CCUACGGGGGGCAGCAGUGAGGAAUAUUGGUCAAUGGACGAGAGUCUGAACCAGCCAAGUAGCGUGAAGGAUGACUGCCCUAUGGGUUGUAAACUUCUUUUAUAUGGGAAUAAAAUGUUCCACGUGUGGGAUUUGGUCUGUACCAUAUGAAUAAGGAUCGGCUAAUUCCGUGCCAGCAGCCGCGGUAAUACGGAGGAUCCGAGCGUUAACCGGAUUUAUUGGGUUUAAAGGGAGCGUAGGUGGAUUGUUAAGUCAGUUGUGAAAGUUUGCGGCUCAACCGUAAAAUUGCAGUUGAAACUGGCAGUCUGGAGUGCAGUAGAGGUGGGCGGAAUUCGUGGUGUAGCGGUGAAAUGCUUAGAUAUCACGAAGAACUCCGAUUGCGAAGGCAGCUCACUGGACUGCAACUGACACUGAGGCUCGAAAGUGUGGGUAUCAAACAGGAUUAGAUACCCGGGUAGUC
Molecule: ribosomal RNA, 460 nt
Filed under: uncultured bacterium
Lineage: Bacteria
Description: partial 16S ribosomal RNA
Rfam family: Bacterial small subunit ribosomal RNA
Source: RNAcentral